GUGAGGAAUUUUCCGCAAUGGGCGAAAGCCUGACGGAGCAAUGCCGCGUGAAGGAUGAAGGCCUAUGGGUUGUAAACUUCUUUUCUCAGAAAAGAAUUAUGACGGUAUCUGAGGAAUAAGCAUCGGCUAACUCUGUGCCAGCAGCCGCGGUAAGACAGAGGAUGCAAGCGUUAUCCGGAAUGAUUGGGCGUAAAGCGUCUGUAGGUUGUUUAAAAAGUAUUCUGUCAAAGAUUAGGGCUUAACCCUAGAUAGGCAGAAUAAACUUUUAAGCUAGAGUUUGGUAGGGGCAGAGGGAAUUCCCGGUGGAGCGGUGAAAUGCGUAGAUAUCGGGAGGAACACCAAAGGCGAAGGCACUCUGCUGGGCCAAUACUAACACUGAGAGACGAAAGCGAGGGGAGCAAAUGGGAUUAGAUACCCCAGUAGUCC
This 426-nucleotide ribosomal RNA is filed under the name uncultured bacterium. RNAcentral's name for it is "partial 16S ribosomal RNA". It matches the Rfam family "Bacterial small subunit ribosomal RNA", at positions 354 to 796 of the family's 1533-position model. The record is from RNAcentral.